This 497-nucleotide ribosomal RNA is filed under the name uncultured bacterium. Its description in RNAcentral is "partial 16S ribosomal RNA". It matches the Rfam family "Bacterial small subunit ribosomal RNA", at positions 28 to 507 of the family's 1533-position model. The record is from RNAcentral.
GAUGAACGCUGGCGGCGUGCCUAAUACAUGCAAGUCGAGCGAACAGACGAGGAGCUUGCUCCUCUGACGUUAGCGGCGGACGGGUGAGUAACACGUGGAUAACCUACCUAUAAGACUGGGAUAACUUCGGGAAACCGGAGCUAAUACCGGAUAAUAUAUUGAACCGCAUGGUUCAAUAGUGAAAGACGGUUUUGCUGUCACUUAUAGAUGGAUCCGCGCCGCGUUAGCUAGUUGGUAAGGUAACGGCUUACCAAGGCAACGAUGCGUAGCCGACCUGAGAGGGGGAUCGGCCACACUGGAACUGAGACACGGUCCAGACUCCUACGGGAGGCAGCAGUAGGGAAUCUUCCGCAAUGGGCGAAAGCCUGACGGAGCAACGCCGCGUGAGUGAUGAAGGUCUUCGGAUCGUAAAACUCUGUUAUUAGGGAAGAACAAAUGUGUAAGUAACUAUGCACGUCUUGACGGUACCUAAUCAGAAAGCCACGGCUAACUACGUG